GCCUGCUUAGCUCAGAGGUUAGAGCAUCNCAUUUGA
This 36-nucleotide transfer RNA is filed under the name Phagnalon umbelliforme. RNAcentral's name for it is "partial tRNA-Thr". The record is from RNAcentral. Lineage: Eukaryota; Viridiplantae; Streptophyta; Magnoliopsida; Asterales; Asteraceae.